UGGGAUGUAGCUCAAAUGGUAGAGUGCUCCCUUCGCUUGUGAGAGGCACGAGGUUCGAUCCCUUGCAUCUUUA
This 73-nucleotide transfer RNA is filed under the name Ipomoea nil (Japanese morning glory). It matches the Rfam family "tRNA". Rfam says of the family: Transfer RNA (tRNA) molecules are approximately 80 nucleotides in length. Lineage: Eukaryota; Viridiplantae; Streptophyta; Magnoliopsida; Solanales; Convolvulaceae. The record is from Rfam by way of RNAcentral.